GAAUCUUCCACAAUGGACGAAAGUCUGAUGGAGCAAUGCCGCGUGAGCGAAGAAGGUUUUCGGAUGGUAAAGCUCUGUUGUAAGGGAAGAACCGGUCCGGGAGUAACUGCCCGUGCCUGGACGGUACCUUUUUACAAAGCCACGGCUACCUACGGGCCCGACGCCGCGGUAAUACGUAGGUGCCAAGCGUUGUCCGGAAUUAUUGGGCGUAAAGCGCGCGCAGGCGGUUCUUUAAGUCUGAUGUGAAAGCCCACGGCUCAACCGUGGAGGGUCAUUGGAAACUGGAGAACUUGAGUACAGAAGAGGAAAGCGGAAUUCCACGUGUAGCGGUGAAAUGCGUAGAGAUGUGGAGGAACACCAGUGGCGAAGGCGGCUUUCUGGUCUGUAACUGACGCUGAGGCGCGAAAGCGUGGGGAGCAAACA
This 423-nucleotide ribosomal RNA is filed under the name uncultured bacterium. Its description in RNAcentral is "partial 16S ribosomal RNA". It matches the Rfam family "Bacterial small subunit ribosomal RNA", at positions 359 to 774 of the family's 1533-position model. The record is from RNAcentral.